Molecule: long non-coding RNA, 1248 nt
Filed under: Canis lupus familiaris (dog)
Lineage: Eukaryota; Metazoa; Chordata; Mammalia; Carnivora; Canidae
Description: lncRNA (ENSCAFG00030025514.1)
Source: RNAcentral
AUGGGCGAGGAAGGGGAGGGUGGAAAGCUCAGGGCUGGGAUGGGAUGGGCUGAGAUGGACAAGCGAGGCAGGGGAGAGUGGACAGGGCAGGACUGGGUGGGCAGAGCAGAGGUGAGCUGGGCUGGAUGGAUGGGUGAGGAAGGGGAGGGUAGAGAGGGCAGAGCUGAGCAGGACCAGCCUGGGCCAGGCUGGCAGUGGUGCUGGGAGGAGCUGGACACCCAAGGGGAUGGGGAAUUACACUCGAAUACAGGAAGACUCUCCAGUGCCCCUGACGCGCUGUGUGACCCAGGCAGUCACCCACCCUCUCUGUGCCUCAGGCUCUGCCCCACUUCUGCCUGGAGGGAGAGGCCAGGAGGUCAGCAGGGGCCCUACCACCCUGUCCCGAGGGUCUUCAGGUGUUUCCCGCUGCAAUCCCUAAGCCAACCUGCCAGACAGAAGGCAAGGCUGCAGGGGGUGUUAGGUAACACCCCAGCCUGUACCUCGUGCACCUCAGAAGGACAGCAGCCAGGGCUGGAACCAGAUCUGUCUGGCGCCCAGGAGGCGGCUUGGACAGCUGGUCCCGCUGCUGGCAGGCUGCGGGCUCCGAGAGUGCAAGCAGAGCAGCCGGGAGUGCAGCGGGAUCUCCACGGCCGGACCUGCGGUGACCCCCGACCUGCCCGGCCAGCGGCCACCACGCCCUGCUGCCUGCGGGUGGCCCCAUCCCCGGCCACCAGUCAGAGAGUCCCUGCGAGCCGGGGCCAGCUCAGGAGGCGCAGGGCCCCCGCCAAGGAGAGCCCAGGCGCAGGGCACCUGGGCGGUGGCCUCGGCCGAGCCUUCUGCAGGCUGAGACUCCAGGGGACCCACCCGGAGCGGGGAGCGAGCCGGCGCCCACAUGCCCUGCUGCACGGUGAGUGGGGCAGGAGGGAGGGCUCUCCUGGGCCCCGCGGGGAAGGGCACCCCCCUGCAGGCGGGGGGCGGGGCUGGUGGGCACUGAGGACGCGGGACUGGGGACCGGAGCCGUGGGGAGGGGGCCCGGGAGCGGCAGGUGGCGGGAGCGGCCGGGUUUCCGCUGACUUCUUCAAGUUCCCUGGGGGCUGCAGGCGGCCCGCGGGCACCUGCUCUGCCCGCACCCCAGCAGCGCCCAGCCGGGCGGGGUCGUGCGCGGAGCCGGUGGGCGGGGGGCCGGGCCGGGGCGGCCGUGCGGUGCUGCAUUGCACCCACAUCCCGGACGCUCGCUCGGGCCAGCGCCACCUCCAGGGCACCUCCUGA